CCCCCUGGACGGAGACUGACGCUCAGGUGCGAAAGCGUGGGGAGCAAACAGGAUUAGAUACCCUGGUAGUUCACGCCGUAAACGAUGUCGACUUGGAGGUUGUGCCCUUGAGGCGUGGCUUCCGGAGCUAACGCGUUAAGUCGACCGCCUGGGGAGUACGGCCGCAAGGUUAAAACUCAAAUGAAUUGACGGGGGCCCGCACAAGCGGUGGAGCAUGUGGUUUAAUUCGAUGCAACGCGAAGAACCUUACCUGGUCUUGACAUCCACGGAAGUUUCAGAGAUGAGAAUGUGCCUUCGGGAACCGUGAGACAGGUGCUGCAUGGCUGUCGUCAGCUCGUGUGUGAAAUGUGUAUGCCCGCACCGC
RNAcentral lists this ribosomal RNA (364 nucleotides) under Escherichia coli. RNAcentral describes it as "bacterial SSU rRNA". It matches the Rfam family "Bacterial small subunit ribosomal RNA", at positions 725 to 1093 of the family's 1533-position model. The record is from RNAcentral. Lineage: Bacteria; Pseudomonadati; Pseudomonadota; Gammaproteobacteria; Enterobacterales; Enterobacteriaceae.